UGUGCCCAGCUGAGCACAAAGUCUUGCUUUGCACAUUUUAACCCACUCAAUCCUUAUAAUAUGCAUGCAGGUGGAUGUUAUUGUGCCCACUUUAUAGUGGAGGAGACGGCAAAGCUUCUGGUGAUAAAGGAACCUGCCCAAGCCCACGUGCUGGCAACCCGCAAAGGCAGGAGUCACACCCAGUUGUGUCUGACUCCCAAGUCUCAUUCUUGGUCUCCCGCUGGGUGAGGAGGCAGUCACAGACCUAAUCCCUGCCCUCACAGAGUUUACAAUCUAGUGUUGCCGUCCCAGUUCUCAAAUAAGCACCACUGGGAAGUGUUCUUGAGUCUGAUCCGAAUCCCUCCUGCUGCAGCUCUGACUCGGCCUUUCUUCCUUAGGACCUCAGUGGGGCGGAGGAUCAGCUUUCAUCUCCUUGCAGACACCUGGGGUGCUCCCAUGAGUUCCCAGCCUUUUUUCCACCCCCACCUUGCACAGAGGCCUCCCCCACAGGAGAGAGUGAGAUGAGGGAACAAAGGUGGCAGAACUUGCACAAUCCUGCAGCUAAGAAGUAGAGGAGCAGAGAUCUGAACCAAGAGACAGUCCUCAAGGCUUGUGCUCCCAAGCACGUCCCUCCACUACCUCCCUUCACGAUACUCAGUGGCACGGGUUAGGACGCCAGGCAUGGAUGAUGUGCCCACUGACCUCAGGCCUUGAAUAACAAGGAUUUCACUGCACGUAGAAGUAGGGGUAGGGCACAGCCAAGCAGAGAAGAAACUCAUUGGAAAACAGUCAGUGAUGCCAUGUGGCAGGAAGCACUCCAAGGCUGGGGAGUAUGGAAAGGCCCCUAUCAAGGAGGCAGAAGUCUUCCUAGAAGAUCUGAAGAAUGACAGGAAUUAGCCAGGUAAAAAGAGGAGGGCCUUGGGGAAGGGAAUUCCGGGCAACAGCAUGUGCGGCAGCCCAGAGGCGAGAGACGCUGCACAGGUGGGGAACCACAGGCGGCUCCCUCUGACUAUCUUGGCAUCUGUGUAUACUUCAAGUGCAAGUGCUUCCCUGCGAUGCGCCACACAUGUGCUGAAUCGUACCUGUGUUGCAUAUCUAGAUGUGUAUACCUGU
Molecule: long non-coding RNA, 1092 nt
Filed under: Homo sapiens (human)
Lineage: Eukaryota; Metazoa; Chordata; Mammalia; Primates; Hominidae
Description: HSALNT0363700
Source: RNAcentral